AACAUUUCUAGCUUGCUAGAAGAUGACGAGCGGCGGACGGGUGAGUAAUACUUAGGAAUCUACCUAGUAGUGGGGGAUAGCUCGGGGAAACUCGAAUUAAUACCGCAUACGACCUACGGGAGAAAGGGGGCAGUUUACUGCUCUCGCUAUUAGAUGAGCCUAAGUCGGAUUAGCUAGAUGGUGGGGUAAAGGCCUACCAUGGCGACGAUCUGUAGCUGGUCUGAGAGGAUGAUCAGCCACACCGGGACUGAGACACGGCCCGGACUCCUACGGGAGGCAGCAGUGGGGAAUAUUGGACAAUGGGGGAAACCCUGAUCCAGCCAUGCCGCGUGUGUGAAGAAGGCCUUUUGGUUGUAAAGCACUUUAAGCAGUGAAGAAGACUCUUCGGUUAAUACCCGGAGACGAUGACAUUAGCUGCAGAAUAAGCACCGGCUAACUCUGUGCCAGCAGCCGCGGUAAUACAGAGGGUGCAAGCGUUAAUCGGAAUUACUGGGCGUAAAGGGAGCGUAGGUGGCUCGAUAAGUCAGAUGUGAAAUCCCCGGGCUCAACCUGGGAACUGCAUCUGAUACUGUUGAGCUAGAGUAUGUGAGAGGAAGGUAGAAUUCCAGGUGUAGCGGUGAAAUGCGUAGAGAUCUGGAGGAAUACCGAUGGCGAAGGCAGCCUUCUGGCAUAAUACUGACACUGAGGCUCGAAAGCGUGGGUAGCAAACAGGAUUAGAUACCCUGGUAGUCCACGCCGUAAACGAUGUCUACUAGUCGUUGGGUCCCUUGAGGACUUAGUGACGCAGCUAACGCAAUAAGUAGACCGCCUGGGGAGUACGGCCGCAAGGUUAAAACUCAAAUGAAUUGACGGGGGCCCGCACAAGCGGUGGAGCAUGUGGUUUAAUUCGAUGCAACGCGAAGAACCUUACCUGGUCUUGACAUAUCUAGAAUCCUGCAGAGAUGCGGGAGUGCCUUCGGGAAUUAGAAUACAGGUGCUGCAUGGCUGUCGUCAGCUCGUGUCGUGAGAUGUUGGGUUAAGUCCCGCAACGAGCGCAACCCUUGUCCUUAGUUACCAGCGGGUUAAGCCGGGAACUCUAAGGAUACUGCCAGUGACAAACUGGAGGAAGGCGGGGACGACGUCAAGUCAUCAUGGCCCUUACGACCAGGGCUACACACGUGCUACAAUGGUAGGUACAGAGGGCAGCUACACAGCGAUGUGAUGCGAAUCUCAAAAAGCCUAUCGUAGUCCAGAUUGGAGUCUGCAACUCGACUCCAUGAAGUAGGAAUCGCUAGUAAUCGCGGAUCAGAAUGCCGCGGUGAAUACGUUCCCGGGCCUUGUACACACCGCCCGUCAC
RNAcentral lists this ribosomal RNA (1336 nucleotides) under Psychrobacter sp. RNAcentral describes it as "bacterial SSU rRNA". It matches the Rfam family "Bacterial small subunit ribosomal RNA", at positions 70 to 1400 of the family's 1533-position model. The record is from RNAcentral. Lineage: Bacteria; Pseudomonadati; Pseudomonadota; Gammaproteobacteria; Moraxellales; Moraxellaceae.